CAUGCAAGUCGAACGGUAACAGGAAGCAGCUUGCUGCUUUGCUGACGAGUGGCGGACGGGUGAGUAAUGUCUGGGAAACUGCCUGAUGGAGGGGGAUAACUACUGGAAACGGUGGCUAAUACCGCAUAACGUCGCAAGACCAAAGAGGGGGACCUUCGGGCCUCUUGCCAUCAGAUGUGCCCAGAUGGGAUUAGCUUGUUGGUGAGGUAACGGCUCACCAAGGCGACGAUCCCUAGCUGGUCUGAGAGGAUGACCAGCCACACUGGAACUGAGACACGGUCCAGACUCCUACGGGAGGCAGCAGUGGGGAAUAUUGCACAAUGGGCGCAAGCCUGAUGCAGCCAUGCCGCGUGUAUGAAGAAGGCCUUCGGGUUGUAAAGUACUUUCAGCGGGGAGGAAGGUGUUGUGGUUAAUAACCGCAGCAAUUGACGUUACCCGCAGAAGAAGCACCGGCUAACUCCGUGCCAGCAGCCGCGGUAAUACGGAGGGUGCAAGCGUUAAUCGGAAUUACUGGGCGUAAAGCGCACGCAGGCGGUCUGUCAAGUCGGAUGUGAAAUCCCCGGGCUCAACCUGGGAACUGCAUUCGAAACUGGCAGGCUUGAGUCUUGUAGAGGGGGGUAGAAUUCCAGGUGUAGCGGUGAAAUGCGUAGAGAUCUGGAGGAAUACCGGUGGCGAAGGCGGCCCCCUGGACAAAGACUGACGCUCAGGUGCGAAAGCGUGGGGAGCAAACAGGAUUAGAUACCCUGGUAGUCCACGCCGUAAACGAUGUCUACUUGGAGGUUGUGCCCUUGAGGCGUGGCUUCCGGAGCUAACGCGUUAAGUAGACCGCCUGGGGAGUACGGCCGCAAGGUUAAAACUCAAAUGAAUUGACGGGGGCCCGCACAAGCGGUGGAGCAUGUGGUUUAAUUCGAUGCAACGCGAAGAACCUUACCUGGUCUUGACAUCCACAGAAGAAUCCAGAGAUGGAUUUGUGCCUUCGGGAACUGUGAGACAGGUGCUGCAUGGCUGUCGUCAGCUCGUGUUGUGAAAUGUUGGGUUAAGUCCCGCAACGAGCGCAACCCUUAUCCUUUGUUGCCAGCGGUUAGGCCGGGAACUCAAAGGAGACUGCCAGUGAUAAACUGGAGGAAGGUGGGGAUGACGUCAAGUCAUCAUGGCCCUUACGACCAGGGCUACACACGUGCUACAAUGGCGCAUACAAAGAGAAGCGACCUCGCGAGAGCAAGCGGACCUCAUAAAGUGCGUCGUAGUCCGGAUUGGAGUCUGCAACUCGACUCCAUGAAGUCGGAAUCGCUAGUAAUCGUGGAUCAGAAUGCCACGGUGAAUACGUUCCCGGGCCUUGUACACACCGCCCGUCACACCAUGGGAGUGGGUUGCAAAAGAAGUAGGUAGCUUAACCUUCGGGAGGGCGCUUACCACUUUGUGAUUCAUGACUGGGGUGAAGUCGUAACAAGGUAACCGUAGGGGAACCUGCGGUUGGA
Molecule: ribosomal RNA, 1478 nt
Filed under: Salmonella enterica subsp. enterica serovar Enteritidis
Lineage: Bacteria; Pseudomonadati; Pseudomonadota; Gammaproteobacteria; Enterobacterales; Enterobacteriaceae
Description: bacterial SSU rRNA
Rfam family: Bacterial small subunit ribosomal RNA
Source: RNAcentral